CAGGCCGCCGCGCCCCGCUGGGCGCUUCCCCUCCGUGAUUGGCCGCGGGCGCCGGUGGUCCCUCCCCCCCGCGGUGUGGAGGGGGGUUGCGGUGUGCGGCGGGACCCUUACCCCGCGCUAUGUCCCUCAGCGGCGAGCGCCUGCGUGCCCUGCUGGGGAGACCCCUUAGAGUCACCUUAAAAUGCGGCGUCUUCCAGGGGGUGCUGCAGUGUGUGAACCCCGACCGGAGCCUUCUCCUGCGGACAGUGAAGAACGUGGAAACUGGCAGAAGCACUCCAGGAGUAAAGAUGUUUUUUGGCCAUGAAAUAGUCAAUGUGGAACUGCUGGAUGAACCAGAUUCAGGGAAGGGAACAGCAAUGCUCUACAAGUGCACUUCAGCUGUUGAAGGGAACAAACAAGCAGAUGCAGGACUAGCAGAUUGUGGCCCAUGGAGCUCUUCUCACGUUCCCCUAGGCAGCCAGCUCAGAGCCUCAGAUAGCUUAAAAUACUCCCUCUCAGAGAAGAAGGAUGAAGAGAAUGUGGAGUACACAGUUGUUGAUUGUUUCCAGCAGAAAUUUGAGCCAGCAGUGCUGCACCUGAAACAGCAGUGCGUUAUCAGUGUAGCAGGAGAAGGUGUUAAUUUGUGUCGUCAUGGAAAACUCUCAUGGCUUGAGAUAGGAACAAAGAGCCAUAUUUUUCUGUUUGAUAUCUUCCUUCUGGGACCUCAGGCUUUCAAAAAUGGAUUACAAAUGGUGCUGGAAGACAAAAACAUCUUGAAGGUCAUGCAUGACUGCCGCGGGAUCUCAGACUGCCUCUUCCACCAGUACGGUGUCCUUCUCUUCAAUGUCUUUGACACACAGGUUGCUGAUGCUCUGCAGUUCUCAGUGGCAACAGGUGGCUUCCUUCCACACCGUGUCUGCACAUUACAGGAGUGUUUGAUGCAGCACUUGAAGAUACCUUCCAAAUGGCAUGCCAUCAUGAAGAGCAGGCAGCAGAUGGCUUCGGAGAAUGCUGACAUAUGGUUCCUGAGACCCUUUCCAGCUUUUCUGCUUAAAGCACUUGCUCUGAAGGCUAUGUACCUUCUGCGGCUCCACGCAUCUCUAAUGGAUAACUUGAUGUCUGACCUAACAACUGUAGUACGUGGUUAUUUAAAUGCUUAUCAGUCUGGGUCUGGAGAUCCCCUUAGGAGCACAAAGGUAGGUAUGUCUGCUUAUGUCUCUGGUUAGUGAUUUGAUCUGAGGCUCUGAUGGGUAACUCUGGAGGACUUAGCCACAGCAGCUUCCUUUUCUGCAACUGUACACCCUACUUUAUGCCAUUAUGUACCUUGUUUCCUUUGAUGAGCAGCAGAAGUGAUGGUGUCUGUAUCUACCUAGCUGCAUUUCAUGUUAGUCCAUCAGCACAAAUCCACCUCAAGUUAGUGCUGGGGAUGGUGAGCUGCAGCUGUUAAGGCAUGGGCACAGGCACAUGUGCCUUCUCUUCACUCUCAUCUGAGACUGAGAACCUCUGGGCUUGAUAGGGGUUGCAUAUUUGUGGGAGCAUGAAGAGGAGCAGGCAGUUGUGUUGGUACCUGGAGCUGCCAGAGUUCCUUUGUUUUGGUAAGAGAACUGAGUCCCAAAAUCUUGUUCUGUUUUUCUCCUAUUCUGUCAUCUUUACUGCUGAGAUGUUUUUCAUAUACUGGCUGUUUCUGGAUAGUGGUGUCUCUUGUUGGCCAAAGAUUUUUAUUUCUGUAAAGCAUCUCUGCAUUAUCUUGUCUUCCUCAUUUAUUCUCACCUUCAUUAGCAGGGUGGGGCAGGAACAAAACCAAGUCAAGUAACACUUUUCGUCUUUGGUUACAUAGAACCAGUAGUAUUGCAUGCCCUGGUACCUUGGAGUGGUUCUUGUAUGGUGGACAUUUCUGUAAUUGCUUGUUAAUUUUUAAAGCAGGGCAGGGGGAAUUAGAUUUUUGAUUAAGGAGCUUGACUUCCUGUGCUAGUAGAAAGAACCCAUCCAUGCAAACCAAAGAAGCAGUGGUAUUGGUGUGGUCUAUUUCUGUCUUUUCAAUGAAGUAAUCUUAGGAGGGCUUGCAUCAACUAUGCAAGUUAUUGCAGGUAUUACAUUUGGAUGAAAAGUGAAUAGUCAAACAUCCUCAUUCAUCACAAAAAGACUGAACUAACAUGAUUAAAUCCUGUUACUGCCUCACUUCUGCAGUUGUAAAUGUCUUGAAAUAUUUAUGGGGAAAAGAGACUGCAGGUCUGUCAUCAUGGAAGGAAUUGUCUUUUUCUUUGCCCUGGUUUAACAAAGCACUGAAGCACAGACUUGAAUUCUUUGGGAAUUACUUAAGGGCUCAGAGCAGAAAAUCUCAUUAUUGAGGAUUUAGGAAGGGAUUAGUUGAAAUAACCACAAGAGGUCAUAGUUGCUUCACAGAUGGAAGAGAAGAGGUCACUCUGAAAAGCUUUUCUUUUUAGGGGAGAGAUGCCAAAAAAAGAAGUUGUUCAUAGUUCAUGGAAAAAAAUUAGCUCGAUAUCUGAAUUUCCAGUAUGAAGUAGCAUGCAAAAGUAGGCAUGACACAAGGGAAAAGAAGAGUCUGUUAGAGUGAAAAGAGUACAAAUUCAGUUUUGCAUUGGGCUAUUUGUAGAAAAAUUUUUGAAGUGGUACUCAGGUUGCUGGAGCCAAUCCUUUUGUAAAUCCAUUUAUUCCAUAAGAUUACCCAAAUAAUUGAUCUGGUCCCGAGAAUUUCAAAUGGCAUUUUGAAGAUCUAUUUAAUAUCACAUCUGAUAAUUAUACUGCCUCCAGCUGCUUUAGAAAUCUUGUAGUAUGGGUAGUAAAAGUAGCCAUUUUCACCACCAUUUCACUGUUAAUCAUUUUUUGAUGUUUCUUCUACUUUAUUUAAAAUCUGCUUGCAAUACGUAUUUGAAGUCCAAAUAUGCAGUUUGGUUUAGUUAAAACUGGUUUGUUACUUCAGUUUCUUCACUGAGUAAGUAAACAAAGUCAAUUUUAAGGGAAUCCUUUGCAAGUUGAUGAGUUCAGCUAAAUCUGUUUUAAGAAAAAAAGAAAGAAAAAAUAACUUUGUGCAACUUCUAGGUUUUCUGGCUAGGUCUAUAUUAAUUCCCUGAAUCAAAAAGCCUUUAUUCAGAUCUGAUUGUCAGAAUGAAAUAAUAAUCAAGAGACACACGCACAUUUAUUCUAGUGCUUUUUCAUGGAUAUUUAGAAGUAAAGUUUAUCCAUCACUAAGGUCUGUGUUAUGCCAUCUGUGCACUUUGUGGAGCUACAGUUGGAAGUUACCUAGAAGGUUCUUUUACUGGACUAUUUUACUUUUUACACAGACCAGUCACAAUUUACACUUGUGCUCCACCUUGGUGCCUUGGUGAACAGCAGCCUGGGGUGCAAUGAGCUUGACUUCAUCUUGGAGCUGGUCUCCAGCCACAGCAACACUGGAGUCCCUAUGCUUGAUGCCUGUGUUCUCCAGGCAUGGAGGGAGAGGGAGGGAAGGAAAGAAAAAGAAAGGCAUCUCAUUGAUCCUGACACUUUUGGAAAUGUGUGUUGACACUUCCUGUGGUUUCUUGUGUCUUCACCUGCAAGUAGUAGUCAAGUCUUCUGAAUACUGGACACUCCCUUCUAAGCAACUGACUUUUCACCCACAAACCAGAUGCAAAACGGCAACCUCUGAUCACCAGCACUUCAUUAUCAAAACUCUCAGCUUCCCUUUUCAGCAUCUUUCAGAAACUGAUAAUCUUCCUCACUGCUGAGGAAGAGAACUCAACACAAACUUCCCACCCUGAAAGUCUCUGCAGUUUCCUGCAUUUUCAGCAUAACUGUCUGCCAGGAGUAAUUGUGCUUCUUGUGGUUGCAGACAUCAAGUAAAAUGGGCUUUUGUGCUGCUGCACCUCAGUCACUAGAAAAGAUGUAGUAAAGGAGCUGUACGUGCUGAAUUUCUAACUUUCCUCAUAGAUUCAUAUUGUGUGUAGUUAGGGAUUUGGAAAUGCAGCUGCAUUCUGAUGUUUAGGACUUAAGUUCAAAGAAAACAGCCUGGGAACCCAUCGGUGUAAAGAAGUACGUGUUCUCCUAGAAGUGCAGUGCUUUCUUGGCUAAGUGCUGACAGUACACAAGCAGUGCACUGGUACCACGGGGCAGUUGCACACCCCUGUGCAGCAGUUCAUUUCCCAGUGCACUUAAGGUAAAGCAGCAGUAGACCAGGUGCAGUGCGGUAUAUGAUACCAGAUAACAUGUUCAUGACACGUGGUGGCAUGAACUCUGUUCUCUGUCUAAAUAUAAUUGAAUGCCUCAGCCAGUAGUUUUCCUAAUUGGCAGGUGAGCUGGGACUGCACCAAAUACAUAUUAAACUUUAUGAACAUACAACCUGAAUUUUCACGCAAUUAAGUUUAAAUAGUUUAGGGCAUGGAUUACCCCUUGCUGUAGGAUACUGCAGCAGUUAGGAAGCUGGAUGUAGGUUCUUCUGGUUAAACAGAACGGAAGGUGGGGUGUUUUCCAGUAAGUGCUUUAUCUGCUUUUUUCUGUAAGCCUGUCUGAAUCAUUUAGCCUUCCUCUGGAUCUGUGCAAACUUCUAGAUGCAGGUUUUGCGACGCACAGCUUCCCUUACAAAAGCACCACAUCUGUAUAUCCACUCUUCUGUUCUUAGUGCUUUUACCAGUAUGUAUAUACUUACACUUGACUUGCCAGCAUGUUGCUUCCUGUAUCUUUCCCGGGACCUUCUUUAGCAUCUUCCAGUCCCUGGGUAUCAAGUCAGGUUUUAAGCAAGAUACUAUAGUUAACUAAUUCAGCUUUUUCGUCUUCUACUGUUCAGGAAUUUUAGGUGAAAUCCACCUUGGUGUUUGUAUUUCAAUUACCGGUAACUAGGUAUUCAUGGGGCAAUUUGAAACAGAUUCCAGCCCACUUGCACAGAGCUGCCAGAGGAGCUGCGUCAGCUGGCAGAGAUCCAGAAGCUGCGAAGGGAGAAAGCAAUAAAAGACUACAGAAUGAAUGGGGAUGGGCUUUUAAUCAGACCAGCCAUGGAAUUAGAAG
Molecule: RNA transcript, 4977 nt
Organism: Falco peregrinus (peregrine falcon)
Lineage: Eukaryota; Metazoa; Chordata; Aves; Falconiformes; Falconidae
Gene: EXD1
Gene name: exonuclease 3'-5' domain containing 1
Exons: 11
Source: RefSeq, a predicted model, not a curated record